UACCGGGUCGUCUAAUGGUAGGACAUCAGUUUCUGGCACUGAGAAUCGGGGUUCGAGUCCCUGCCCGGUAA
RNAcentral lists this transfer RNA (71 nucleotides) under Candidatus Dojkabacteria bacterium. RNAcentral describes it as "tRNA-Gln". It matches the Rfam family "tRNA". From Rfam's summary of the family: Transfer RNA (tRNA) molecules are approximately 80 nucleotides in length. Their secondary structure includes four short double-helical elements and three loops (D, anti-codon, and T loops). The record is from RNAcentral.